GAUGAACGCUAGCGACAGGCCUAACACAUGCAAGUCGAGGGGCAGCACAUGAGUAGCAAUACGAUGGUGGCGACCGGCGCACGGGUGAGUAACACGUAUGCAACCUGCCUUCUACUAUGGGAUAACCCGUUGAAAGACGGACUAAUACCGUAUAAUACAGGGGCUCCGCAUGGAGAUAUUUGUUAAAGAUUUAUUGGUAGAAGAUGGGCAUGCGUAUGGUUAGAUAGUUGGUGAGGUAACGGCUCACCAAGUCAACGAUCAUUAGGGGUUCUGAGAGGAAGGUCCCUCAGACGGGGACGGGGACACGGACCAGACUCCUACGGGAGGAAGCAGUGAGGAAUAUUGGUCAAUGGACGAGAGUCUGAACCAGCCAAGUCGCGUGAAGGAAGACGGUUCUAUGAAUUGUAAACUUCUUUUGUGCAGGAAUAAAGUGGGUUACGUGUAACCUUUUGUAUGUACUGUACGAAUAAGGACCGGCUAACUCCGUGCCAGCCGCCGCCGUAA
This 504-nucleotide ribosomal RNA is filed under the name uncultured bacterium. Its description in RNAcentral is "partial 16S ribosomal RNA". It matches the Rfam family "Bacterial small subunit ribosomal RNA", at positions 28 to 523 of the family's 1533-position model. The record is from RNAcentral.